CUGGGAUUGUCCAGUUAGCAGCACUGGGCAGAAUAGACACCCAGGCUCCUGGGCCUGACACUGGAUGGAGUCUCGGGGAAGUGGAAGCAGGAAGCACGUCACAAAAAUGAGCAAUGUUGUGAUCCCAGUGACCCUAAAAACUGUUAUGGGAAUCCCAGAAAGCCUUGGGAACUCAGGCUGACAAGGGGAAUGGAAAUGUGGAUGUGAAAGAGCGCUGUGCUUAGAAUCUGUGGGCAGAACAGCAGAGUAGAAAGAGCAAACCACGGAUUGGGCAAGUACCACAUCUUUCUAGGAAUUUUUAGUGUUGAAAAAGGUGCAGAGCUUUUCCAAUCCCAAAUGGAACAGAGUUUGUUUGGGCACAGGAUGGAUGAACAAGUGAGAAAGCUGUCACAGAACAAGUCCUUAGUGCAGGUGGCACAGGUCUGAAAGCACAGAUCAAUCUUUGGAACAAACUCAGAGUCCUAAUGAGCAACAUCAUCAGAGGUUCUGGAUCUGCAAGAGGAUGAGAGAAAGCCAUGUUCACCACUGACAACCAUAUGAGAUUUUACCUAAAAACCAGGGAUUUCAAGAAGUAUGAUCAGAAGUGGUGAUGUUGACAAUCUGGCUGGUACCGAAGACCCUUUUUAUAGACAAAUCACAGCAAACUGUACCCAACUGACAUUGAUCCAGCUGCCCCCAAGACUGAUGUAAUCACUGGCGGCAGAACGUGAGAAGGGUCCUAGUGAGAGCAAGCUCUAUGUUCCCAUGCUUUGCAGUUUGAAUCAUUCCUCAGCGCUCUGGUCUCAGCCUAUUCUGGUACUUAUGACGAGGCGGCAAUUUACAUAAAGUGUUG
Molecule: long non-coding RNA, 832 nt
Filed under: Equus caballus (horse)
Lineage: Eukaryota; Metazoa; Chordata; Mammalia; Perissodactyla; Equidae
Description: lncRNA (ENSECAG00000059986.1)
Source: RNAcentral